UAUUACAAGGAUUGUUCCGAAAGUAGGUUUCGUCAUUUUUUUGAAAGAGAAGAUGGUACACCAGUUGAAACAAAUAAUCGCCAUAAGAAUCCACAUCCGUUGUUGGUUCAACGAUGGAAGGAGCAUCAGCAGAGGAGGAAUGACACGUGUAGAGUGCUGAAGAAGAGAGAAUAGCAGCAGACAGGUAUGCCCGAGGUUAUUCAAGUACAAAUCACAAUGGCAGACAGAUAUGUAUUGACAAUGUGGACACCAAUGGAAGUUCAUGUUGUUAUCUGGUAUGAAUGUGCAUGUGGGACUAGUGUGUUUGUCAUCCACAAAUGCCUACAGACCAUGUAUGAUGAAGAGGUCAUGUCUUGUCAAAUGGUUGGUUGCUGGUGUUGCAUGAAGAAAGGCAAUGU
Molecule: long non-coding RNA, 398 nt
Filed under: Androctonus crassicauda
Lineage: Eukaryota; Metazoa; Arthropoda; Arachnida; Scorpiones; Buthidae
Source: RNAcentral